Long non-coding RNA from Micropterus salmoides (largemouth bass), 352 nucleotides. RefSeq lists it as uncharacterized. NCBI's taxonomy places the organism in Eukaryota, Metazoa, Chordata, Actinopteri, Centrarchiformes, Centrarchidae. The transcript is spliced from 3 exons. The record is from RefSeq and is a predicted model, not a curated record.
AUAUUUACAGAGUGGAGAGAAACUCCACUGAGGAACUUUACCUCCUUGUUUCUAAUGAAUCUGUCUCUCAGUGAUCUCAGAUCAGCCCUCCUUCAUGUUCAGCCUGCAGCGCUGUCACUUCCUGCAUGUGAUUAAACUCUUUGUGUAGGGCCCCGUGUCUCCUGAUGAGCUCUGAGUGAAGAAGCAAAACCAGAUGAGCUUCUACACAGUCACUGCUCUCACCUACAGAGAGGAAGAGAUUAACUGGACUGACUGAGUGGAGGAGCGAUGGGACAGACAGCUUUUCUGCUCUUGCUGAUCUCUCUGCUGAGCUGCAGGACCAGCGGAGCCUCUCUGACUGUGAGUCCCAGCA